This 254-nucleotide ribosomal RNA is filed under the name uncultured bacterium. Its description in RNAcentral is "partial 16S ribosomal RNA". It matches the Rfam family "Bacterial small subunit ribosomal RNA", at positions 524 to 776 of the family's 1533-position model. The record is from RNAcentral.
UACGGGGGGAGCAAGCGUUGUUCGGAUUUACUGGGCGUAAAGGGCGCGUAGGCGGUCAGCACAAGUCAGUUGUGAAAUCUCCGGGCCUAACUCGGAAAGGUCAACUGAUACUGUGCGACUAGAGUGCAGAAGGGGCAACUGGAAUUCUCGGUGUGGCGGUGAAAUGCGUAGAUAUCGAGAGGAACACCUGCGGCGAAGGCGGGUUGCUGGGCUGACACUGACGCUGAUGCGCGAAAGCCAGGGGAGCGAACGGG